Molecule: ribosomal RNA, 480 nt
Filed under: uncultured bacterium
Lineage: Bacteria
Description: bacterial SSU rRNA
Rfam family: Bacterial small subunit ribosomal RNA
Source: RNAcentral
UUGAACGCUGGCGGAAUGCUUUACACAUGCAAGUCGAGCGGCAGCGCGGGGCAACCUGGCGGCGAGCGGCGAACGGGUGAGUAAUAUAUCGGAACGUACCCUGUCGUGGGGGAUAACACAUCGAAAGAUGUGCUAAUACCGCAUACGCCCUGAGGGGGAAAGCGGGGGACCUCCCGGCCUCGCGCGAUUGGAGCGGCUGAUGUCGGAUUAGCUGGUUGGUGGGGUAAAGGCCUACCAAGGCGACGAUCCGUAGCGGGUCUGAGAGGAUGAUCAGCCACACUGGGACUGAGACACGGCCCAGACUCCUACGGGAGGCAGCAGUGGGGAAUUUUGGACAAUGGGCGAAAGCCUGAUCCAGCCAUGCCGCGUGAGUGAAGAAGGCCUUCGGGUUGUAAAGCUCUUUCAGCCGGAAAGAAAUCGCGCAGGCUAAUACUCUGCGUGGAUGACGGUACCGGAAGAAGAAGCACCGGCUAACUACGU